RNAcentral lists this ribosomal RNA (912 nucleotides) under Ortholinea sp. ASH-2015. RNAcentral describes it as "bacterial SSU rRNA". It matches the Rfam family "Eukaryotic small subunit ribosomal RNA", at positions 140 to 899 of the family's 1831-position model. The record is from RNAcentral. Lineage: Eukaryota; Metazoa; Cnidaria; Myxozoa; Bivalvulida; Ortholineidae.
UGGAUAACCGUGGGAAAUCUAGAGCUAAUACAUGCAAUUACUUGGAUGACGCAAGUUGUUCAAAGCAUUUAUUAGAUUAAAACCAACUUUGUUAGGGGGCAACUUCUAACACAAGGUGAAUCUAGAUAACUUUGCUGAUCGUAUGGCCUUGUGCCGGCGACGUUUCAAUUGAAUUUCUGCCCUAUCAACUUGUUGGUAAGGUAGUGGCUUACCAAGGUUACAACGGGUAACGGGGAAUCAGGGUUCGAUUCCGGAGAGGGAGCCUGAGAAAUGGCUACCACAUCCAAGGGAGGCAGCAGGCGCGCAAAUUACCCAAUCCAAAUACUGGGAGGUGGUGACGAGAAAUACUAGAUGGUUUCCUAUUGGAUACCAUACUGGAAUGGACGUAACUUAAGCAAUUCGAUGAGUAACAACUGGAGGGCAAGUCUGGUGCCAGCAGCCGCGGUAAUUCCAGCUCCAGUAGUGUAUUUUAAAGUUGCUGCGUUUAAAACGCUCGUAGUUGGAUUACGCAGUGCAAGUUAGUAGAUUGGCGCAGUAGUACAUUAAAUCUGGUUAGUUUUUUCAUGUUCUGUGGUUAAACCCGGAAUACUGAGGGGCUGGCCAGAGUGCUACGUGUCGAUUAUAAGCUAACUUGUACUACUUACGCGUGAGGAUGGUAGUUGAUCUUUAGUGCAUCGACUAUUGUGUCUCACGGAGUGUGCCUUGAAUAAAUCAGAGUGCUUAAUACAGGCUUUUGCUUGAAUGUUAAUAGCAUGGAACGAACAAUUGUGUUUAUGCGUGUUGUAAAAGUGCCUUGGUGGAUUCAUAUUUAUCUUUGUACUUUUAGAGCACGCAGCACCAACCGCCAAUACAGGAUGUUGGUUUCCGUAUUGGGGUGAUGAUUAAAAGGAGCGGUUGGGGGCAUUAGUAUUC